GUUGAGGUCUAUCCUGAUGGGGCUUUCCUGUAGCCUGCACAUCGUUGGAAAUGCCGCAUAGAGUUACUCUGUGGGUUUGCUUUACUCACAGGACUGUUUGUUAGACCUGUGAGAAGGAACUACAACACAGAG
This is a small nucleolar RNA of Carlito syrichta (Philippine tarsier), 132 nucleotides long. The record is from Ensembl. NCBI's taxonomy places the organism in Eukaryota, Metazoa, Chordata, Mammalia, Primates, Tarsiidae.